GAAAUGCGAUACUUGGUGUGAAUUGCAGAAUCCCGUGAACCAUCGAGUCUUUGAACGCAAGUUGCGCCCGAAGCCAUUAGGCCGAGGGCACGCCUGUUCGAGCGUCAUUUGUACCCUCAAGCCUUGCUUGGUGUUGGGUGUUUGUCCCCCGGGACUCGCCUUAAAACAAUUGGCAGCCGGCAUAUUGGUUUCGGAGCGCAGCACAAAUUGCGGUCCUUCCAUGAAUGUCGGCGUCCAUGAAGCCCCCAUUUUCCACUUUUGACCUCGGAUCAGGUAGGGAUACCCGCUGAACUUAA
RNAcentral lists this unclassified non-coding RNA (296 nucleotides) under uncultured Pleosporales. RNAcentral's name for it is "sequence contains ITS1". The stretch from base 1 to 107 matches the Rfam family "5.8S ribosomal RNA", at positions 50 to 154 of the family's 154-position model. The record is from RNAcentral. Lineage: Eukaryota; Fungi; Ascomycota; Dothideomycetes; Pleosporales.